UAAUACAUGCAAGUCGAGCGCCCUUCGGGGGAGCGGCAAACGGGUGAGUAACACGUUGGAAUCUGCCUCGCACUCAGGGAUAGCCCACUGAAAAGUGGAUUAAUACCGGAUAGUCUCGUAAGAGUAAAGCUUUUGCGGUGCGAGAGGAGCCUGCGUAGUAUCAGCUUGUCGGUAAGGUAACGGCUUACCAAGGCUAUGACGCUUAGCUGGUCUGAGAGGAUGAUCAGCCACAAUGGGACUGAGACACGGCCCAUACUCC
Molecule: ribosomal RNA, 259 nt
Filed under: unidentified marine bacterioplankton
Lineage: Bacteria
Description: partial 16S ribosomal RNA
Rfam family: Bacterial small subunit ribosomal RNA
Source: RNAcentral